UUUAGUGGAAGUUUCCUGUUUUUGUUGUGCUUUUCUUACAUCUUUUGGGGAAAUUUCCAUAGCAUCGUAGACAUCUAAUGGUAGACAUACCGUUAUUCGGUAUUUUGGGAAUUGUACUCUAAAAGUGCCCAAAGCUACUCGCUGAUAUCCAGACCAGUGUUGUGCUACCACAAUGAGGAGCCACACACACUUAAGAAGUUUGUGGAGCUGCACAAAGUUGUGGUGCUCUGUAAUGUGCAUGCGUGGAAGGCCACCUUAAGGACACAAAGAAGGCUCUGCUGCAAGCUUGUGCAACCUAUCAGAUUACAGGGUGCAGCAGUACAUAGCUGUGGUUUCUAGAAGGUUUUGAAGAGGCAAUGAUUUGGCUAAAACUGACGGGAAGAGGGGCCUAAGAUUUCGUUAUGGACUCCCUACCUUUCCCCACUGUAAUCUGAGCACUGAUUGAUUUCAAGGCAAGUGACUUCUUUCGAAGGCUGCUUAGGUCUGGCACAAAGGAGCAUGAGUUGGUGAAUGCUUGGUUGUAAAUUGUGUGUUCAAGAGGAGGAAAUUUCAUGACAAACUAGAAACCACAAGACAAAUGGGCCUGCCCUUUCGGAAGCGGUUUCCAUCUUUGCUUGUGUGUCCUGGCAACCCGGCCGCUCUCAUUUAUCGGCUGCUGGCUCAGGUCCUGUUUGGGAAAUUCCAGAGGAAAAGCUCUUUCUCAAACCCGCUGUAAGAAGAGGUGGUGCAUUUCUGUUAGACAUGAAGGAAGCUUCUUUCUCAUGGUCUUUUGGCUGAAACGACCAAAUCCCAAAGGCAGCUUCCAGCCUGACCCGUGAUUACUGCAGGCCAGAUGCUUUAUAAAACUCCCUGCACAAAAGCAGGAAACUGAAGCUUCUGACAGUUUCUCACAUAUUUCAUUCUGCUGAGUGAGAGCAGUGCUCUUUCCGCUGACCCCAAUGAGGAGGAAUAAUAGUCAGCAAAAGCUUGGACGGUUGAAGGUCCCACAUGCAUUCCGUUGUAAGGCCCCAGUACAGCUGGAACUCUGCAAAGCCAAGAAGCACUCUGCAAAACAGAAACUAGGCCUGACUGCUUCUGGAUCUGUUGGCAGGUGCAGUCUUCAGGCCAGACCCUGUGCCUUUCACGGACAGAAGGUCAACAAAGGAAGCAUUGGUCUUGUGGUAGCAAGCAUGACUUGUCCCCUUAGCUAAGCCGGUUCACCCUGGUUGCAUAUGAAUCGGAGACUAGAAGUGUGAGCACUGCAAGAUAUUCCCCUCAGAGGAUGGAACCACUUUGGGAACAGCAGAAGGUUUCGAGUUCCCUCCCUGGCAUCUCCAAGAUCGGGCUGAGAGAGAUUCCUGCCUGCAACCUGACUCAGUAUAUGGCAGCUUCCUAUGUUCCCAUCAGUGCAUAUCAGUACCCUAGCCCCUAAUUGCUGCUAGGUUCCUUGAAGGAGGAACAGGAGUGGAUUAAGCUUUUUGUUGCCGCCUUACCUAAAAAAGAAAAAGAAAGCCUCUGCAUGACAGUGGCAGUAGCUCUGGCGGUGGGGAAGUGGCGGAGGGGAAAGUUUCCCCUUUUUCCCUGUAAAGAACACCUCUGCCUGCGACGGGAUGGGGCGCAGUUGCUGGAGGGAGGGAGGGGGUGAGGAGUGGAGAGUUUCACCUUUUACCUUUGAAAACGCCGGUGCACAGCAGGAUGGGGGUGGAACGAGCUCCUACCAACUCCCCUCCUCACCACUCCCCCAAUCCUGCUGUGCAGCAUUUUGCCACCGUAGGCAAAUGCCUACUCUGCCUCUCCGUUCAUCCGCCACUGAGGAGGAAUCUCUUCAGCCACCUCCUGCCACCCUGACUUCUUCCAGCAAGGAAUCACAGCAGUGGAGGCACCUGCACAGAGCAGGGGAGAGAGAGCUCCUGGCCUCACCUGGCUCUCUGCUGCUUCCACUUUCGUAGGUGCUGUGUUAUAAAAUUACUUUAAAAAUGCAUGUCAUUAUUAUUGGGGUGGGCAGUAUGAUUGAGCUUAAUUAUCCAAAGAGGGGCUAAAGAGCAUCCGGGUCCUGAAUCUUUUCUGUAGCAACGCCCCUGAUCAACACAAUAUAUAAAGCACAGUUCUCCAUUGGCUCACUGCCCCUUAUAUGUGGAAGGAGAGCAUUAAUGUGGGAAUAUACUGAUUUCUCUUUCAGAAAUCUAGUGUGGGAUUAGGGUUGUCACAUAUCCAGGAUUGUCCCAGACAAUCUAGGAAUCAGACAUCCUGUCUAGGAUGUAUGAAAAGUGCCGUCCUGGCUAUAAAAUGUCCAGGAAUUUGAGAAGGAAGGUUGCUGUAAUGAAUUUGACCCAUUUUUUCCUGGUGCUUUUUUUCUAGGCAUUGCAGCAACUUUUACGAACCAGAUGUCCUUAUCCUUUCUCAGGCACCACUGCUGCCAUCUGUAUGGGUCCGUAAAACCCAUCCCCUCGUUUCUGGAUCAUCUCUAGAAUUAGAAAGAGUUUAUUGAAGUGGAAAGCUCCUAACCUUCUCCCGUGCAAAGAACGCUAUAGGGGAAAAAUACACAGAAUAGCCACUAAGCUGCACUGCCAAGUACUCUUUCCAAUCCCAGUCAAAGAAGUGAGGUUUUAAAUCACCCCCACCCCCACCCACCGCAGUUGUGUCUAGGAAUUUUCUCUAAUGAAUGUAGCAACCCUAUGUGGGCCAAGCUUUCUUCCUCAGAAAUGCACCUUGCUCCUUCUGGGCCCAUCUUAAUCUUUUUCCCCCCCUUCUAGUGCCACCAAUAGAAGUAGCAUGAAAUGGCUUCAAGUUACUAGGUCUGUCCACAUGACCAUUUUGGAGUGGGCUGGAGAGCUUCUAUUCCAUUAGCAGCACACAAGCAGAACUUCUAUUUGGGUCAGCAAACCCAGAGCACACACAAUUAAGCUGAGCCCAGUGCUCAUUGAAAUCAGGAGCCGAUAGUCCUCCAGGGCCUCCAUGCCUUCCCAGCAUGCUUUGCACUGCCAGUAGAUUGGAAAGCCUCAUUACAUCAGCAACUGCCCUCUGAUUGGCCACAAAGGAGCAGGAGGCAGAUCCAGCCCUGCUGAACUGCUCCAGCUAUAGGAUUAUAGAGUAUUCUUUGCAGAGUGGCACAUCUAUGGACGGCAGCCUCUGUAGCCAUAGCUCUUUUUCCCCAGGCCUGCAGAAUUUCAGUGGCUGAAUAGAAAAGGCAGGUGGAUCCACACAACCAGAAAAGCAAGGAGAACCUCGAUAUACACGGAUCCAGCAUCUGCGCAUCCGCAGAUCUGUGGUCAGGGAUGGACCUCCAGGGAACUCUCACUGUAGCUGCCAUUCCGGGAGUGAUUAGUGGCUGAGGUAUCCCUGGCAACAAGGGACAAAAACACAUCUUUCCACUAGGCUUGGCCAAGGACAAUCCAAAGGGUAUGAACCUACUGGGACUUUGAGAUCAGCUUCACAAGCCCUGCUCUCUGGCACAUCCCAUCAUGAAUGAAGUCCAGUCUGCCGAGAACCCCACUGUUGUUUUUUUUAAAACUAUAGGUUUCUAGCCCUCAUUAUUAUGGAGAAAAAUUUGAAAGUUUAUCUGGGUAUCUGUGCAAGGCUUCCAGUGGCAAGGAGUAAGGCCUCUACAUUCUGCAUUUCAUAAUACUCUGACCCAUCUUUCCUUAUGACAUUCCUCCUAUGUUUUCCCCACUCUGUUUUACCCUACCACUCACAGCCAAAGGGAAUAAAAUAGAAAUUUAGCAAGAC
Long non-coding RNA from Hemicordylus capensis (graceful crag lizard), 3705 nucleotides. RefSeq lists it as uncharacterized. The record is from RefSeq and is a predicted model, not a curated record. NCBI's taxonomy places the organism in Eukaryota, Metazoa, Chordata, Lepidosauria, Squamata, Cordylidae. The transcript is spliced from 3 exons.